UGUUUGGCACCUGGAGGUUUCUGACUUUGUGACUCUUGAGAGAUUAAGCUUCAGGAGAGCCAAGUUCUAGCCCCAGCUAGGCCCUACGUACGCUGUAUGACCUUCCCCAGGUCUCUGGGCAGCCUGGCAAAACUGCUUAGCGUUUUGUGCUGUGGACGGUGGGGGAGAAGGUAGGAAUAGUGCUGCAGAGAAAAAAGCAGUGAGGGGUAGGAUUCAGAGAUGAGAGGACAGGGAACGUGAAAUAACAUGAAGUUGAUUUUGAUGGAUUCCCAGCCAGCAGAGGUCACCAGUGGCAGGGGAAGGGCUGUGCCCGCUUUUAUUCAGGCUACAAAGAUUGCUCGCAUGGUCCAGGUGGAAAGGGAGCCAGGAGACCCGAGGAGGGACGCCCGCCGAGGGGGCAGCCAGGCGAGCGGCCAUCGAGGUCCCUCCACCUGAGCACCCGCAGCCCAGGCAGAGAAUGACUGAGCUGCUGCGGGAUAGUUUAAUCAACAGAGGAGCAGGGGAGGGGACGCGCGGCUCGCCGGAGAAAGAAUUUAAUUAGCAACGCUUUCAAGAAAGAAAAUUAAAUUACAGGAAACAGUGGUGCACUCUGAGGAACACGAAACCCCUAAACCGAUUCCCCAGACCCCCACGUGCGCCGGGACCACAGCAGGUGGAACGCGGCCGCGCGGGGCGGGGCCUCAACCGCCUCUCCCGCCCGGCUUACCCGGCGCCUGCGGCCCGGCACCCGCUGCGGUGGCCCGGCUCCGCCGGAAGGGGGCGCCGCCGGGCCACAGCCCUGUUCUCCAGGCGCCGGCGCUCGCGCGCGCGGCCAAGGUGGGCGCUGAGAGGACCUGGGCGAACCAAGCCCGGGACUGAACGGGCUGCUGGGUGUCUUGCCUCGCCGAGCCACACAGGGCUUCGCGGGCGCAAAAGGGCGAGAUUUGGGUCCCGUGCUAAUAGUGGUCUGACCCGAGACUCAUCCAGGGAAAUGGAGUCACAGAGUUCGAGGACCGGGCAGCCUUGUCCGCAUCCCGCCCCCUCCCGGGUGCAAUUCCUCAGACAGGCCCAGGAAGUCGCCCAGGAACACACAGCUGGUCAGUUCCUGGGACAUAAACGUGCUGACAACUUUAUGUAUUUGUUACUCUGAAGUAACCAUGCCAAUGUCUACAUCAGCUGCUGUAAUUUGAGGCAGGAACCAUACAGACUGUUCUUCCAAGCAAUUCUCUAACGGUUUGCAUAACUGUCCUUCCGAGAGAGAGGGAGGAAAGCCACGUGCUCUAAGAACGAGGCAGGAAUUCUGAGUGGAAAAGGCCGGAGUGGGUCACAGGACGCCAGGGACCCACAGAAUAUCUCCUUCCGGGAAGCCAGUCAAAGGCUGGGUUGAUAUUUGCUGUCUUCCCAUUAGUUGGAAAUGAGACUUUGGUAAAAGACAGUCAUAAUUAUUCCAAGCAAAUGACAACUCGUAAGGGUGUAAUGCCCUCACUUGCAUUUUGCUGAUGGGUCCGAGUUGCAGGAGGCUGCCUGGCUCUGUGUUGCGAUCUCAAAACACUUUAGAGACGGCACUGUUUUUUGCACCUCACCAACAUCUUGGGAUGCCAAACGAACACAAGAUUACACCCUCCUAUGAUAAAGGAAACUGAGGUAGCAGAGAUAAAGGAUGCUUCCUACUGCCUCUUCCUCCUGCCCUUCUGAUCGGGCUGCCUCCAGGAGGACCUCAUCUCCACCCCUCUUCCGCGCAGAUGCAAGUGAUACCCAGGAGGCUGGGAACAGAAUAAAGUCCUCAUCAAGUACCACCUCAUUUACAUGGUCUAUGACUAUUACCUUAAAAACAAUGUUAAGUCAACCUCAGACACUCCUUAUAACACUCACAGAAACAUCUUCCCUGGUUGGGGAGAGAGAAAUCUGUACUGAAAUAAAAGCUAAUUGACAUGCCCUCCAAAA
Molecule: long non-coding RNA, 1923 nt
Organism: Herpailurus yagouaroundi (jaguarundi)
Lineage: Eukaryota; Metazoa; Chordata; Mammalia; Carnivora; Felidae
Exons: 3
Source: RefSeq, a predicted model, not a curated record